RNA transcript from Condylostylus longicornis, 8019 nucleotides. It is a transcript of the gene named cell adhesion molecule Dscam2, with no coding region annotated. Lineage: Eukaryota; Metazoa; Arthropoda; Insecta; Diptera; Dolichopodidae. The record is from RefSeq and is a predicted model, not a curated record. The transcript has 25 exons.
GUUAACGGUGUGUCUGCGUCUGUUAAUUUUUUCGUCGGUAUAACCGUGUUGGUGCUUAGUCAUAUAUAUAUAUAUAUGUAUAAUUAAUUUGCAUAUUUAUAUAUGCAUAUAUAAAGCAUUUGAAAAUCCAUUCAUUGAUCAUUUUCAUUAAAUUUAAACAAUUUUAAAAUUUAUAUGAUAAUUGUAUAUAAUUAAAUUUUUUUUUCGAAUUUAUAAUAAAAAUCGAUCGAAUCAACAGCAUCGUUUCACUCUUAAAAAAGUGAUCGGUGUGCGAAUAACCGCACCGCGUCGUAACGUUUUUUGUUUUGAACAAAAAAACGUUAACCGCGCUUACUCACCAUCUAUCUUUAGAUUGCGAAUUUUCGAAUUUUCUUGGUGGUUAUAAUUCGCGACGAUAUUUUCGCUUAAAUAUUUGUAUAACAAUUUAACGAUUUUAACCGUUAUUGUCUCUGCCACCAUUCAAUACGCUUUACAAAAUUUAAGAAAAAAAAAAAAUUGGAAGUGUUUAUUGAAGUGAAUAAAAGAAUAAGAAUUUGAAAAAUAAAUAUUUAAGUAUAAAGAAAUAAAGAAGUAAAAAAUAGAAAAAGAGUGAAUUAAAAAUUAAAAAUAAAUCUAAAAAAGAAAAGUUUUCUGAGAAAAAAAAAAUAUUUGAAAAAUUUAAAAAAAGAAAAGUCAUUCAGAAUAUUUCAUUGAAGUGCAAAAAAAAAAAAAAUUCUUUAGUGAAAAUUUGUUGAAAAAAGUUUUCCAAAAAAAAAAAAAAAAUUUUAAGUAUAAUAAUUAUUAUUAUAAGUUUUAUAUUUAAGCUCAAAUAUAAAAUUCUCAUUGGAUUAAAUAAAUUACAACAACAAUAAAAGGCGAAAUACAGCAGACACUAUGGGAUUUACUAUAAUAAAGUGGAUUACGUUUAUUGGAUUUACGGUAUUGAUUGGUUUGGUUGAUAGUGCUACAAAUCCAUCUGAUGCUGAUGCAAAAGGACCAACAUUUUUAAAGGAACCCACAAAUCGUGUCGAUUUUUCAAACUCAACUGGAGCAGAAGUCGAAUGUAAAGCAAGUGGUAAUCCAGCACCAGAAAUUAUUUGGAUACGUAGUGAUGGUACAGCUGUUGGUGAUGUUCCUGGUUUAAGACAAGUAUCUUCUGAUGGAAAAUUAGUUUUUCCACCAUUUAGAGCAGAAGAUUAUAGACAGGAAGUUCAUGCACAAGUAUAUGCUUGUUUAGCACGUAAUCAAUUAGGAUCAAUUAUUUCACGGGAUGUACAUGUUAGAGCUGUUGUUCAACAAUAUUAUGAAUCUGAAGUUAAUAAUGAAUACGUGAUACGUGGUAAUUCAGCUGUUCUUAAAUGUUCUAUACCAUCAUUUGUUGCUGAUUUUGUUCAAGUUGUUUCAUGGCAAGAUGAAAAUGGUGAUUUAUAUGGGACAUUAGAUGAAAAUAAAGGUCAACAUCAACAAUUAUCAGCUGAUGGUAAAUAUUUAGUUCUUCCAUCUGGUGAACUUCAUAUUCGUGAAGUUGGUCCAGAAGAUGGUUAUAAAAGUUAUCAAUGUAGAACAAAACAUCGUUUAACUGGUGAAACACGAUUGAGUGCAACAAAAGGACGUCUUGUUAUUACUGAGCCCGUGGGUAGUGUUCCACCAAAAAUUAAUCUUCACGAUAAAUUUCAAGUAGUUGAAGUUAAGAAUGGAACUGAUUAUUAUUCUUUACAAUGUCCAGGUCAAUCGUUUCCCAUACCAGCAUUUAGAUGGUAUAAAUUCAUUGAAGGAACCACGAGAAAACAAGCUGUCGCACUUAAUGAUCGAGUAAAACAAGUUUCUGGUACAUUAAUAAUUAAAGAUGCCGUUGUUGAAGAUUCUGGAAAAUAUUUAUGUGUUGUGAAUAACUCUGUUGGCGGUGAAAGUGUUGAGACCGUUUUAACUGUAACAGCUCCAUUAUCAGCGAAAAUUGAUCCACCAACACAGACGGUAGAUUUCGGACGACCAGCGGUAUUUACUUGUCAAUAUUCCGGUAAUCCAAUUAAAACUGUAUCAUGGCUUAAAGAUGGAAAAUCAAUUGGUCAUAGUGAUCCAGUUUUACGAAUUGAAUCAGUUAAGAAAGAAGAUAAAGGAAUGUACCAAUGUUUUAUACGAAAUGAUCAAGAAAGUGCAGAAGCAAGUGCCGAAUUAAAACUAGGAGGACGUUUUGACCCACCAGUUAUUCGACAAGCUUUUCAAGAAGAAACAAUGCAACCAGGACCAAGUGUAUUCUUAAAAUGUGUAGCUGGUGGUAAUCCAACUCCAGAAAUUUCAUGGGAACUUGAUGGUAAAAAAAUUGCUAAUAAUGAUCGGUAUCAAGUUGGACAAUAUGUUACUGUAAACGGAGAUGUUGUCUCAUAUUUGAAUAUAACAUCUGUGCAUGCAAAUGAUGGUGGUUUAUAUAAAUGUAUUGCAGCUAGUAAAGUUGGUGUUGCACAACAUUCGGCAAAAUUAAAUGUUUUUGGUUUGCCUUAUAUUAGACAAAUGGAAAAGAAAGCUAUUGUCGCUGGAGAAACAUUGUUUGUAACAUGCCCUGUAGCUGGUUAUCCAAUUGAAUCUAUUGUAUGGGAACGAGAUAAUCGAGCACUCCCAAUUAAUAGAAAACAGAAAGUCUUCCCAAAUGGUACACUUAUUAUAGAAAAUGUGGAACGGAAUUCAGAUCAAGCUACAUACACUUGCGUUGCAAAAAAUGCUGAAGGAUAUUUAGCUAGAGGUUCACUUGAAGUACAAGUUAUGGUAUUACCAGAAAUUUUACCAUUUCAAUAUGAUGGUAUUUUAAAUGUUGGUGAUUCUGUUGAUUUAAUAUGUCAGAUAUAUAAAGGUGAUAGACCAGUACAAAUUUCAUGGAGUUUUUUACGUUUAAGUCAUAAAAAACAUAAAGAUAUUCAACCAGUAAUGCGUACACAUCGUAUUAGUGCACAAUCAAGUGUACUUUCAAUACCACAAGCAACAGCUUCACAUACUGGAACAUAUAUUUGUACAGCAACAAAUAUUGCUGGACAAACUUCAUAUAGUACAAAUUUAACUGUUAAUGUACCACCAAGAUGGAUACUUGAACCUACCGAUAAAGCUUUUGCUCAAGGAUCAGAUGCUAAAGUUGAAUGUAAAGCUGAUGGAUUUCCAAAACCACAAGUAACAUGGAAACGUGCCGUUGGUGAUACUCCCGGAGAAUACAAAGAUUUAAAGCAAAAUGAUAAUAUUCGUGUUGAGGAAGGAACCCUAUUCAUUGACAAUAUACAGAAAAAUAAUGAAGGAUAUUAUUUAUGUGAAGCUAUUAACGGAAUUGGUUCAGGAUUAAGUGCAGUUAUUAUGAUUAGUGUGCAAGCUCCACCAGAAUUCACAGAAAAAUUCCGUAAUCAAACAGCUCGUCGUGGUGAACCAGCUGUAUUACAAUGUGAAGCUAAAGGUGAAAAACCAAUUGGAAUUUUAUGGAAUAUGAAUAAUAUGAGAUUAGACCCAAAAACUGAUAACCGUUAUACAAUUCGUGAAGAAAUUUUAUCUGCUGGUGUUAUGUCAAGUCUUUCUAUUAAACGUACUGAACGAUCUGAUUCUGCAUUAUUUACAUGUGUCGCAACAAAUGCUUUUGGAAGUGAUGAUGCCAGUAUUAAUAUGAUUAUUCAAGAAGUUCCAGAAAUGCCAUACGCUCUUAAAGUUUUAGACAAAUCCGGUCGAUCAGUACAAUUAAGUUGGGCUAAACCAUAUGAUGGAAACUCACCAUUAAAACGUUAUAUUAUUGAAUUUAAACGGUCACGUGCUUCAUGGGAUGAAAUUGAUCGCGUUAUUGUUCCUGGACAUACGACUGAGGCUCAAGUACAAAAACUUAAUCCUGCUACAACAUACAAUAUUAGAAUUGUUGCUGAAAACGAAAUUGGAACAUCACAAUCAUCGGAAGCUGUAACAAUAAUUACUGCUGAAGAAGUACCAUCUGGAAAACCACAAAAUAUUAAAGUUGAACCAGUUAAUCAAACGACAUUGAGAGUAACAUGGAAACCACCAGCACGCUCAGAAUGGAAUGGAGAAAUUUUAGGAUAUUAUGUUGGUUACAGACUUUCAAGUUCUAAUACAACAUACAUUUUCGAAACUGUUAAUUUCGCAACAGAAGAAGGCAAAGAACAUAGUUUAGAUCUCACAAAUUUAAGAGUAUAUACACAAUAUUCGGUUGUAAUUCAAGCAUUUAACAAAAUGGGCCCUGGACCAUUAAGCGAAGAAGAAAAACAAUUUACUGCUGAAGGUACACCAACACAACCACCAAGUGAUACUGCCUGUACAACUUUGACAUCACAAACAAUUCGAGUAUCAUGGGUAAGCCCUCCAUUAGAAUCUGCCAAUGGUGUUAUUAAGAAUUAUAAAGUUGUUUAUGCACCAAGUGAUUUAUGGUAUGAUGAAACAAAACGUCAAUACAAAAAGACUGCCUCAAGUGAUACUGUGUUACACGGUUUGAAAAAAUAUACAAAUUACACAAUGCAAGUUUUGGCCACAACAGCAGGAGGCGACGGUGUUCGUAGUGCUCCAAUUCAUUGUCAAACUGAACAAGAUGUCCCUGAACCACCCACCGACGUUAAAGCUUUAGUUAUGGGUCCAGAAGCAAUUUUAGUAUCAUGGAGACCACCAACUCAACCCAAUGGCGUUAUUCAACAAUAUACUGUAUAUAGCAAAGCUGAAGGUGCCGAAAGUGAAGUAAAAUCACAUAAGAUUCCGUAUUACCAAAUUAGUUUUGAAGCCAAUGGAUUAGAAAAAAAUAAACCAUAUGAAUUUUGGGUAACUGCAAGUACUGUUAUUGGCGAAGGACAACAAUCAAAGAGUAUUGUAGCAAUGCCAAGUGAUCAAGUUCCAGCUAAAAUUGCCUCUUUUGAUGACACAUUUACUGCCACAUUUAAAGAAGACGCAAAACUGCCAUGCUUAGCCGUCGGUUCUCCUACACCUGAUAUUACGUGGAAAGUUAAAGGAGUUGAAUUCUCACAAAAUGAUAGAAUGCGUCAAUUGCCAGAAGGUUCGUUGUUAAUUAAAUCUGUUACUAGACAAGAUGCCGGGGAAUAUACAUGCCAUGCCGAGAAUUCAAUAGCUAAGGAUUCAAUUACGCACAAAUUAAUUGUUUUAGCUCCACCGCAAUCACCUCAAGUAACUUUAUCUGCCACAACAACCGAUUCUUUAACUGUAAAACUAAAACCACAUGAAACAGACACUGCUCCUCUACACGGCUAUACGAUUCACUACAAACCAGAAUUUGGAGAAUGGGAAACUGCUGAAGUUUCGGUUGAUGCACAAAAAUAUAAUAUUGAAAAUUUACUCUGUGGAUCAAGAUAUCAAGUUUAUGCAACUGGUUACAACAAUAUUGGUGCUGGAGAAGCUUCUGAUAUAUUGAAUACAAGAACAAAAGGAUCAAAACCAAUUUUACCAGAAACAUCGAGAUUUAUUGAAGUUUCAUCUAAUUCAGUUAGUUUACAUUUCAAAUCAUGGAAAGAUGGUGGAUGUCCAAUGUCACAUUUCGUAGUAGAAAACAAGAAAAAGGACCAAAGUGAAUGGAAUCAGAUUUCAAAUAAUGUUAAACCUGAUAAUAAUUAUGUUGUUCUUGAUUUGGAACCAGCUACAUGGUAUAUGUUGAGAAUAACUGCACAUAAUUCAGCUGGCUUUACUGUUGCGGAAUAUGAAUUUGCCACACUUACUGUUACAGGAGGAACUAUUGCCCCACCAUCGGGUUCAAGUGGCAUGGGACAUGGAAAUCCAAGGAUAAUAAUGCCAGCGUGGAUGCCUGAAUGGUUAGAUUUAAAUUUUAUGGUGCCUUUAAUUGCCACUUGUAUUGUUGUUGCGGUGGGUAUUCUAGUAAUAUGUGUAGCUGUUUCAAGAAGACGUGCAGAUGAUUUACGUGGAGGACAAAAAGAUGUUUAUUACGAUGUAGUUUACAAUCAGACUAUGGGACCUGGAGCAACGUUGGACAAACGCCGACCAGAUUUACGUGAUGAAUUGGGUUAUAUUGCACCACCAAAUCGUAAAUUACCACCAGUACCAGGAUCAAAUUACAAUACAUGUGAUCGCAUUAAACGAGGUACAGUAAUAAGCCGAGGAAUGAGAGCGAAUCUUUCGACAUGGGAUCCACGUCGUCCAAUUUAUGAAGAAUUAAGACCACCACCGAUCCCACAUAGAUUUGCUGGGCCAGGUGGAUCUACAGAAGAAUGUGCUUAUCAUACGCAUCCAGGUAGAAUUAAAUGUAUGGAAGAUGAAAUUUGUCCGUAUGCUACUUUCCAUUUACUCGGUUUCCGUGAAGAAAUGGAUCCAACAAAAGCAAUGAAUUUCCAAACUUUCCCACAUCAAAAUGGUCAUACUGGUCCUGGUCAUGCUGGAACAAUGGGUCCACCAGGACAUCCUGGACACGUUCAUUCAAGAUCUGGAUCUCAAUCAAUGCCAAGAGCUAACCGUUAUGCUCGCAAAAAUAGUCAAGGUGGUCAAAGUUCUAUUUAUCAACCAGCACCAGAAUAUGAUGAUCCAGCUAAUUGCGCUGAAGAAGAUCAAUAUCGUCGUUAUACAAGAGUUAAUUCUCAAGGUGGUAGUUUAUAUAAUGGUCCCGAAUAUGAUGAUCCAGCUAAUUGUGCACCUGAAGAAGAUCAAUAUGGUUCACAAUAUGGCGGUCCUUAUGGUACACCUUAUGAUCAUUAUGGAUCACGCGGAUCUGUAGGAAGACGUAGUGUUGGUUCUGCACGUAAUUUACCAAAUGGUAACGGAUCUCCUGAACCACCACCACCUCCACCACGUAAUCAUGAUAUGAGUAAUUCAUCAUUUAAUGAUUCCAAAGAAAGUAAUGAAAUUUCUGAAGCUGAAUGUGAUCGUGACCAUCCAAGAGGCAAUUAUGGCGAAGAUUCAGCUGAGGCCAAACGUUCCCCAAAUCAACGGGACCAGCGUUCAACUGAAGAAAUGCGAAAAUUAAUUGAAAGUUUAGAGGACUAUUAUUUAGGGAAAAAAAAUUAAAAUUAAUUUUUUGUCUACCACCUACUUAAAGUAAUUAAAAUUAUACCAAAGAAUUAUUAAUUAUACCUAUUAUAUAAUUAUGGAACAAUAUUUAUCAAUAUAAAAAAGAAACGAAGCCGGCCCAACAAAACAACUCCAACAACAAGGUAGCGCAGGACUCACAGCCUACGAUACUAUGGCAGUGUAAUUUGUAAGAAAUUUUUGAAUUAAUCAGCAACAAAAAAUCUGAAUGCACAUUUAUAUAAAAAAAAAGCAGAAAAAUAGAAAAAAAAAACAAAAAAAAAAAUAUCAUAAAAUAUUAUAAAAAAGAAAAAAAUGGAAAAACUAAACCAAAUAUUUAAAGAAAACUAAAAAAAAUUUAAACUAAUUAAAAAUUAUAUUUAAAAAUUACUAUUAUAUAUUAUUAUAAAAUUUAAGAGUGAAAAAUAAUCAGCAAACAAAAAAAAAGAAAGAAAAAGAAAACAAAAAACAAAAUUAAUUUCAUAUAAAAAGUAAAAGAAACAAAAGAAAAAAAAAAUUAAUUAUCUCUAAAAAAAAUAUUAAAUAUAUUCAUUUAUAUAUUAAAUAUCAAAAUAUAUAAAAAAAUUAUAAUUGAAAAAAAAAACAACAAAUAUAGCAAACCAAAAAAGAAAGAAAACACACACACACACAAAAAUAAAACACAAAAUAGCCAUAUGAAAAAUAAAAAUAUUUGAUUGUAAUAAAUAAUACAUAAAUAAAUAAAUAAAUUAAUAAAAAAAUUUCGUAAAACAAACGAAUAAUAAUGCGCAAAAUAUUUGUAAAAUUUCAAAUACUGUCACGACAUCUAUCCAUAUUAUUAUAAUAUUUUUUUUUUAAAUAACAUUAAAAAAAUUUUUUAUAUUAAGUACCAAAAUAUUAUUAAAGUAUGAGAAAAGGUAUAAAAUAAAGAAUAUUUUUUUUGAGAAUUGCAGAAAAAUAAAAAUAUAUGAGAGAAAAGAUAAAAUUUAUAAGUCCAUUUUAUAAUUCCAAAUCUAAGAAAUUUACAAAAAAUUUAUAAAUUUAUAACAUUUAUUUGAUCAUCAUCGAUCAAAAUCA